This 497-nucleotide RNase P RNA is filed under the name Candidatus Giovannonibacteria bacterium. RNAcentral describes it as "RNase P RNA component class A". It matches the Rfam family "Bacterial RNase P class A". Rfam says of the family: Ribonuclease P (RNase P) is a ubiquitous endoribonuclease, found in archaea, bacteria and eukarya as well as chloroplasts and mitochondria. Its best characterised activity is the generation of mature 5'-ends of tRNAs by cleaving the 5'-leader elements of precursor-tRNAs. The record is from RNAcentral. Lineage: Bacteria; Candidatus Giovannoniibacteriota.
AUUCUUCGCCGGAUAGCCGCCCGCCACAAUGCGCAAGCUUUGGGAAGGGAGGAAAGUCCGAGCACCGCUAAGGUAAUCCCGACGUAAAGUCGGGAUGCUCAAAGUUGCGGCCUCGCUGCGCUUCGGGCAACUUUGGCAGAGGCAGUGGCUAACGGCCACCUCCCGCCAACGGCGGGACGAGAGAGUGUCACAGAGACAAUACCGCGGACGUCAUCAUUUUCGGUCUAAAGCCGGAAGCGUUGAUAGCGCAAGGGUGAAAAGAGGUGAGGUAAAAGCUCACAGCGCGCGUUGGUGACAGCGCGCGGUGAAAAACACUUGUCCCGACGCACUAUUAAAAUUUUUGAUAGCGAAGUCGGGACCCCGGCUUUACGUCGGGGCCCGGUGCAAGUCCGACGUCGAGUUAACCUCGGUAGUCGGACGCUAGAUCCCGCAGAGCAAUCGCGGGACCAGACAGAUGGCUAUUUAAACAGAACUCGGCUUAUGAGCGGAGAAUCCAA